UACGUAGGGGCCUAGCGUUGUCCGGAUUUAUUGGGCGUAAAGAGCUCGUAGGCGGUUCGGUAAGUCAGGUGUGAAAUCUCCACGCUCAACGUGGAGGCGCCACCUGAAACUGCCGUGACUCGAGUCCGGUAGGGGAGACUGGAAUUCCUGGUGUAGCGGUGGAAUGCGCAGAUAUCAGGAGGAACACCGGUGGCGAAGGCGGGUCUCUGGACAGUUCCUGACACUGAGGCACGAAGGCCAGGGGAGCAAACGGG
RNAcentral lists this ribosomal RNA (254 nucleotides) under uncultured bacterium. RNAcentral's name for it is "partial 16S ribosomal RNA". It matches the Rfam family "Bacterial small subunit ribosomal RNA", at positions 524 to 776 of the family's 1533-position model. The record is from RNAcentral.